UGGGGAAUUUUGCACAAUGGGCGCAAGCCUGAUGCAGCCAUGCCGCGUGUAUGAAGAAGGCCUUCGGGUUGUAAAGUACUUUCAGUCGGGAGGAAGGUGGUAAGGUUAAUAACCUUAUCAAUUGACGUUACCGACAGAAGAAGCACCGGCUAACUCCGUGCCAGCAGCCGCGGUAAUACGGAGGGUGCAAGCGUUAAUCGGAAUUACUGGGCGUAAAGCGCACGCAGGCGGUUGAUUGAGUCAGAUGUGAAAUCCCCGGGCUUAACCCGGGAAUUGCAUCUGAUACUGGUCAGCUAGAGUCUUGUAGAGGGGGGUAGAAUUCCAUGUGUAGCGGUGAAAUGCGUAGAGAUGUGGAGGAAUACCGGUGGCGAAGGCGGCCCCCUGGACAAAGACUGACGCUCAGGUGCGAAAGCGUGGGGAGCAAACAGG
This 429-nucleotide ribosomal RNA is filed under the name Chloroflexota bacterium. Its description in RNAcentral is "Chloroflexi bacterium partial 16S ribosomal RNA". It matches the Rfam family "Bacterial small subunit ribosomal RNA", at positions 355 to 776 of the family's 1533-position model. The record is from RNAcentral. Lineage: Bacteria; Bacillati; Chloroflexota.